RNAcentral lists this long non-coding RNA (957 nucleotides) under Monodelphis domestica (gray short-tailed opossum). RNAcentral describes it as "lncRNA (ENSMODG00000046932.1)". The record is from RNAcentral. Lineage: Eukaryota; Metazoa; Chordata; Mammalia; Didelphimorphia; Didelphidae.
GUGAAUUGAUACAACGAUUCAGGAAACCAAUAUGGAAUUGUUCUAAAAGAAUCACUCAACUGUAGAUAACCAGUGAUGCACAUGAAUAGGCAAAUACCCUAAGGAGGUGAAGGAAAGGAAAGGUUUUAUAUAUUAAAAAAUAUUUAUAGUAACAUUUUUUGUAGUAGUGAAGAAAUAAAAGCUGGUAUAAUAGAGAGGGGGACUUUGAAAAGGAAGGAACCAAUGAACAGCUGUUUGGGGAUUUAAUUCUAAGUGACACUUCCUCCCCCCAUCCUUAAGCUGAACUGUUAACAAUGGAGUCAGUCAGGCUAGACUAAAGGGGGUUUCUUGGCAAAGAUUCUGGAGUGGCUUGCCAUUUCCUUCUCCAGCUCAUUUUACAGAGGAGGAAACUGAGGCAAACUAGGACUUCUCUUCCAAACUGGAAAGGUUUCAAGCUCAAGCCUGGCAACAUACAGUUUAUCUAUCAUCUGAAGACCAGCAAAGCCAGCCAAAUUCAAGAGGUUUACAGGCAAUUACACAGGCAGUCAUCUAGCAAGGUCCUGAGGGGACAAACGACCAGGCAAGUUUGGCUGAAGGAUGGUCCGAAAAAGCCUGCAUCAUCUGAUGAUUCCCAGGGAGGCCGACCCAGAAGAUCUAAGCAACCUAAGGGUGCGGAGCACUCACUGACUGGGUGGGAGGGCAGGAUUGCUAAAAGGAAAGAAGAAAGAAGCCCUAAAAGAGAUGUAGAAAGUAAAUGAGUAUCAGAGACAAGGUGACCUACAGUGCUUUGAAAGACAGAAGAACCAUCAGAGAUCCAACAACAGGAAAUCAUAGCAGUCUAUUAAGACAUUUCAACAUUGAGGAGUGAUCUGCUUGACGCAGUCCAGCAGUGGAUUGACCCAGCAAUCAAGUAUUAUGUCCUGAAAACAAAGGAGUGAUGUUAAUAAAAUAAGUUAAAUUGAUACUGGAAGCUAAUCA